Molecule: ribosomal RNA, 435 nt
Filed under: uncultured Saccharofermentans sp.
Lineage: Bacteria; Bacillati; Bacillota; Clostridia; Eubacteriales; Oscillospiraceae
Description: partial 16S ribosomal RNA
Rfam family: Bacterial small subunit ribosomal RNA
Source: RNAcentral
ACGGGAGGCAGCAGUGGGGAAUAUUGGGCAAUGGGCGCAAGCCUGACCCAGCAACGCCGCGUGAAGGAUGAAGGUCCUCGGAUUGUAAACUUCUUUGAUCAGGGACGAAUUUUGACGAUACCUGAAGAACAAGUCACGGCUAACUACGUUCCAGCAGCCGCGGUAAUACGCAGGUGACAAGCGUUAUCCGGAUUUACUGGGUGUAAAGGGCGUGUAGGCGGUUUAGCAAGUCAGAAGUGAAAUUCCCGGGCUUAAAUUGGGCGCUGCUGCUGAAACUGCUUUACUUGAGUACUGGAGAGGAUAGUGGAAUUCCUAGUGUAGCGGUAAAAUGCGCAGAUAUUAGGAGGAACACCGGUGGCGAAGGCGGCUAUCUGGACAGUAACUGACACUGAGGUACGAAAGCGUGGGGAGCAAACAGGAUUAGAUACCCUGGUA